ACCUACAGGCAAACUAAUCCGAUAAAGCCUGUUCUUGUCCGAUAACAGAAGCAAAGCGGUAUCAGGCCUGGUCAGUACUUGAAUAGGAGACCACCAUGGAAUUCCAGGUGCUGCAGGGU
Molecule: ribosomal RNA, 119 nt
Filed under: Poecilia reticulata (guppy)
Lineage: Eukaryota; Metazoa; Chordata; Actinopteri; Cyprinodontiformes; Poeciliidae
Source: RNAcentral